RNAcentral lists this transfer RNA (84 nucleotides) under Tremellales sp. Tagirdzhanova-0007. It matches the Rfam family "tRNA". From Rfam's summary of the family: Transfer RNA (tRNA) molecules are approximately 80 nucleotides in length. Their secondary structure includes four short double-helical elements and three loops (D, anti-codon, and T loops). Lineage: Eukaryota; Fungi; Basidiomycota; Tremellomycetes; Tremellales. The record is from Rfam by way of RNAcentral.
UCGUGCGUAGUAUAGUGGUUAGCAUAUUCCGCUUUCAACCGAGGUCGAGCCGGAAAGACCCGGGUUCGAUCCCCGGCACGCGAA